AGUCAGACUCCAGACCACACAAAUCCUUUGAAUGUUGUCUGACUACAUCUGCUGGGAUUGGAUCUCCCCAGCAGGAAGCAUGGGCUUUCUUGGCAUCAUGGUACAAGCAGCACUGGGAUCCAUCAGUGGUGAGAAUGGAAAUAAAGGGAAAUGGUUCCCUCCAUAGCUGUUGCACUGCACACAGAGCCAGUCUGCCUCUCAGCAAUGCCACCGAGUAGAACAGGCACAAAGGAGUAUUCUGGAGUGUCACCUCUCAUGGGCAGGACAAACGACUUCCAUUGACUUCCAUCCACUUCCUAAAGGUAUGGUUGUUCAGAGACAAUGUUACCCACAGCAUCAUAUAACAUUCUGCUAACUUAUUUUCACAGAAUUUUAUACAUGUUGUCCACAUGCAUAUCAAAGAUCAUGAUUUUUUAGCUAGGUAUUCACCUUUAACUGCUUCCUGAAUAGUACAAAGAAAAGAAACAAAUAACUCUUCUAAAAGAAACUUGUUGUUCAAGGCCAAUAUAUUUGCAGCCACCCCUUUCUCUAUGUAGCACGGAGAAUCAUUAUAAAAAAAUGACAAAAAAGAAAAACAAGGUAGUGUUAAUAAAACAACUUGACAGAAGCCA
RNAcentral lists this long non-coding RNA (611 nucleotides) under Coturnix japonica (Japanese quail). Its description in RNAcentral is "lncRNA (ENSCJPG00005018966.1)". Lineage: Eukaryota; Metazoa; Chordata; Aves; Galliformes; Phasianidae. The record is from RNAcentral.